Molecule: long non-coding RNA, 3924 nt
Filed under: Malus domestica (apple)
Lineage: Eukaryota; Viridiplantae; Streptophyta; Magnoliopsida; Rosales; Rosaceae
Description: long non-coding RNA (MDOM_LNC010854)
Source: RNAcentral
CAACAACAACAACAACAACAAAGCCUUUUCCCACUAAGCGGGGUCGGCUAUAUGAAUCCUAGAACGCCAUUGCGCUCGGUUUUGUGUCAUGUCCUCCGUUAGAUCCAAGUACUCUAAGUCUUUUCUUAGAGUCUCUUCCAAAGUUUUCCUAGGUCUUCCUCUACCCCUUCGGCCCUGAACCUCUGUCCCGUAGUCACAUCUUCGAACCGGAGCGUCAGUAGGCCUUCUUUGCACAUGUCCAAAUCACCGGAACCGAUUUUCUCUCAUCUUUCCUUCAAUUUCGGCUACUCCUACUUUACCUCGGAUAUCCUCAUUCCUCAUUCCCAAUCUUAUCCUUUCUCGUGUGCCCACACAUCCCACGAAGCAUCUUCAUCUCCGCCACACCCAUUUUGUGUACGUGUUGAUGCUUCACCGCCCAACAUUCUGUGCCAUACAACAUCACUGGCCUUAUUGCCAUCCUAUAAAAUUUUCCCUUGAGCUUCAGUGGCCUACGACAGUCACACAACACGCCGGAUGCACUCUUACACUUCAUCCAUCCAGCUUGUAUUCUAUGGUUGAGAUCUCCAUCUAAUUCUCCGUUCUCUUGCACGAUAGAUCCUAGGUAGCGAAAACGGUCGUUUUUUGUGAUCUUCGCUAGAUUGCUCCGGUCAUUAGUGUGGAUAAGUAUAUAAAUGGAUAGAGAUAGGAAAGCAAACACAAGAUGUACGUGGUUCACCCAGAUUGGCUACAUCCACGGAAUAGAGGAGUUCUCAUUAAUUGUGAAGGGUUUACACAAGUACAUAGGUUCAAGCUCUCCUUUAGUGAGUACAGGUGAAUGAUUUAGUACAAAUGACAUUAGGAAAUAUUGUGGGAGAAUGAUCUCGUAAUCACGAAACUUCUAAGUAUCGGAGUGUGGUAUCGUCUUGACUUGCCUUAUCUGUCUCAUAGGUAGAUGUGGCAUCUUCUCUGGAAGUACUCUUCCUCCAUCCAGGGGUGGUAUCUUUAACUGGUGGAGAUGCACAAGGUAAUGUAUCAAUUUCACUUGAAGCUUACUUGUAGUUUCAGGCUUGGUCAAGCGCGAUACAAACCAUGUAGUAGGAGUCCCCCAGGUCGCCGAGCUAGGGGAUCUGUUGAAAGAGGUGACAUACAAGGUAAGCAAUCAGAGCUCCGGCUGAUUGUUCACAUUCUCCCUAUCUUGUAGGCAGCAUGAAGGAUAAAGAGAAGAAAAAUGAGAAGAGAUGAUAUGGGAUACUUUUGCUUUUGAAGAAGUAACUUUCCACAGGCUUAUUCUUGAACUGAGCUGGAGGGUUUUCUGGUUUCCUCCAGAGUAUAAGGCCGACUGAAGAAUUUGAAGGUCAAAACAAGUCCAUCAAAUCUAGAGUACGUUCGACCAUGUUGAUAUGGGAUACUUUUGCUUUGACAGAAUAAUGGAUGUAUCGGCACAUGUGCUGUUACGCUUGUCUCCACAUGCUUCCUUGUAUUCUUCUCACUUGCCCUAUCUGUUCCUCAGGCAGAUGCAGUAUCUUCCCUGGAAGCAUAAGAUGUUGAAGAUGAGUACUCGAGAGCAAUGCCAGGUAAGUAAUCAGGUAAGGGGUUCCAGGCAGUCAGUUCCUGGCUGGAAACUUGAUUCCAAGUGCUAACUGAUUGCUCUCUUUCUCCUUGUCUUGCAGGUAAGAACAAGGCCAAAGAAAAAGACAGGGAAAAAGCAUGAUAUGGGAUACUCUUGCUUUUAACCCUGAUGAUAUGAGAUAUUCUUGCUCUAGUAUAGCUUGUUUGCAGAGGUAUUAUCGGGGGGAAAGAAAGCUGAAUAUUUCGAAAGGCUUCAUUGGGAGUGCCCUCUCAGAUAUGAGGAAGGGUUGAGCAUUGUUGCAGGUCUGUCUGUCCGUUGGGGAUGGAGGUCGACAUAUAUAGGAGUCUCCUUAACAACAAGUAGUAAUGCUAUUCCUUUACCCUGCUUGGUCAUAUCACGGUAGUGGGAGCUGCCAGCUUCACAUGUUUUAACUCUGUCAGAGCACUUUGAAAAAGUGGUCUAUGGUAUCUGGAAAGCUGAUGUUGCGUGUGAAGAUUACAGACAGCUUUAUCCAAGGAGAUCCGGCUCUUGCAGUUGGGAAAGUGUUGCCUCUUCAGUUUUCGAACCAGCAAUCCUAUCGGGGAUCUGGCUCUCGAGAUUCGGAGAACGAUGCCUAUUCGAUUUUUGAGAAAGCAAUCAUGCUGGGGGUCUGGCUCUCGAGAUUCGGAGAGCGAUCUUUUCGAUUUUUGAGAAAGUAAUCAUGUUGGGAGUCUGGCUCUCGAGAUUCGGAAGGCGGUGCCUCUUCGAUUUUGGAGCAAGCAAUCUUGUUGGGAGUGUUUCUCGAAAAUGAGUAAAGGUUGGGCAUGUUUGCUAGUCUACCUUGCCACGAAGCACAGAGGUUGACACACAGGGACUUUCCACGACAAAAUGCCCAUAAUUUCUGCAAAGCUGAGUGUGUGUGUGACAGGUGCUGUCAAGGCUGGAAAAGUAGGUGCCUCUUCGAUUUCUGAGAUCGGCCUUCGUGGUCUUUGAGCAGCCCAGCUUUUGAAAAAGCAAACGCCUCUUCGAUUUCUAAGAUCGACCCUCGUGGUCUCUGAGCAGCCCAGCUUUUGAGAAAGCAAACGCCUCUUCGAUUUCUGAGCAGGCACCUCUUCGAUUUUUGAAGCUCCGUCGAGUGCAAAUUUUUAUAGGGGCUGGCAUUAAGUUCCAAAGCACACUUGAAUCUCCACCAGUAGAAGCACCAUUCUUGCACUUCUAAGAUCUUGAUUUGUCUGACCUCUUCUCUUUUCAACCCCUUUGAAAAUGUCUGGCCCCUCCGACCGUCGUUUUGACUUGAACCUUGUUGAAGAGGUAGCCCCGCCUUCUCCAGACAACAUAUGGCGCCCAUCAUUCGUCUCCCCUACUGGUCCUCUUACCGUUGGGGAUUCCGUGAUGAAGAAUGAUAUGACCGCUGCGGUGGUGGCCAGGAACCUUCUCACUCCCAAAGAUAACAGACUACUUUCCAAACGGUCUGAUGAGUUAGCUGUUAAGGAUUCUCUGGCUCUCAGUGUUCAGUGUGCAGGUUCUGUGUCUAAUAUGGCCCAACGCCUAUUUGCUCGAACCCGCCAAGUUGAAUCAUUGGCGGCUGAAGUGAUGAGUCUCAAACAGGAGAUUAGAGGGCUCAAGCAUGAGAAUAAACAGUUGCACCGGCUCGCACAUGACUAUGCUACAAACAUGAAGAGGAAGCUUGACCAGAUGAAGGAAUCUGAUGGUCAGGUUUUACUUGAUCAUCAGAGAUUUGUGGGUUUGUUCCAAAGGCAUUUAUUGCCUUCGUUUUCUGGGGCUGUACCGCGUAAUGAAGCUCCAAAUGAUCAACCUCUGAUGCCUCCUCCGUCUAGGGUUCUGUCCAGUACUGAGGCUCCGAAUGAUCCCCCUCCGGUGCCUUCUCUUUCUGGGGCUCUACCGACUGCUGAGACUUCUCCUAAGCAACCUUUGUGAAGGCUCCCUCUUGUUUGUUUAUUUUGACUCAUGUAUAUGUACAUAUUUGUAGCUUAUCGGGGAUAUCAAUAAAUAAGCUUUCCUUCAUUUCAAUGUAUUGUGUUAAAUACACCAAAACCUUCUUCGCUAAGUUCUUUGAAUUUUCUUUUGUUGAAGCUUUGUGAGUGGAGCAUGUAGGUUGAGGUAGUGUUCCCUUAAUUUCCUGAGUGAGGAAAACUUCUCGGUUUGAGACUUGGAAAAUCCAAGUCACUGAGUGGGAUCGGCUAUAUGGAUGUUAGAACGCCAUUGUGCUCGGUCCUGUGUCAUGUCCUUCGUUAGAUCCAAGUACUCUAAGUCUUUUCUUAGAGUCUCUUGCAAAGUUUUCGUAGGUCUUCCUCUACCCCUUCGACCCUGAACCUCUGUCCCAUAGUCGCAUCUUCUAAUCGGAGCGUCAGUAGGCCUUCUUUGCACAUGUCCAA